This 914-nucleotide ribosomal RNA is filed under the name uncultured marine archaeon. RNAcentral describes it as "bacterial SSU rRNA". It matches the Rfam family "Archaeal small subunit ribosomal RNA", at positions 1 to 921 of the family's 1478-position model. The record is from RNAcentral.
UUCGGUUGAUCCCGCCGGAGGCUACCGCUAUUGGAGUUCGAUUAAGCCAUGCGAGUCGCGAGAAAUUAGAUUCUCGGCGUACCGCUCAGUAACACGUGGGUAACCUGCCCUAUGCUGGAUAAUAACCUCGGGAAACUGAGAAUAAUGAUCCAUAGUUCACUACGCCUGGAACGGUGAGUGGAUGAAAGCUCCGGCGGCAUAGGAUGGGCCUGCGGCGUAUCAGGUUGUAGGGGGUGUAACGUACCCUCUAGCCCUCUACGCGUACGGGUGUUGGGAGACAUAGCCCGGAGAUGGAUUCUGAGACACGAAUCCAGACCCUACGGGGUGCAGCAGGCGCGAAAACUUGGCAAUGCGAGAAAUCGUGACCAGGGAACUCCAAGUGCAUGGGGUAAGACCCAUGCUUUUCUUGACUCUAAAUAGGUCUUGGAAUAAGGGGUGGGUAAGGACGGUGCCAGCCGCCGCGGUAAUACCGGCGCCUCAAGUGGUAGUCGCUUUUAUUGGGCCUAAAACGUCCGUAGCCGGUCUGAUACAUUCGUGGGUAAAUCAACCAGCUUAACUGGUUGAAUUCUGCGAGGACGGUCAGACUUGGGACCGGGAGAGGUGUGGGGUACGCUCAGGGUAGGGGUAAAAUCCUGUCAUCCUGAGCGGACCACCUGUUGCGAAGGCGCCACACUAGAACGGAUCCGACGGUCAGGGACGAAGCCUAGGGGCACGAACCGGAUUAGAUACCCGGGUAGUCCUAGGUGUAAACGCUGUGGACUUGAUGUUGGGAGUGCUCCGAGCACCCUCAGUGUCGAAGCGAAGGUGAUAAGUCCACUGCCUGGGGAGUACGGUCGCAAGGCUGAAACUUAAAGGAAUUGGCGGGGGAGCACUGCAACCUGAGGAUUGUGCGGUUUAAUUGGAUUCAACGCCGG